This 792-nucleotide long non-coding RNA is filed under the name Homo sapiens (human). RNAcentral describes it as "HSALNT0107187". Lineage: Eukaryota; Metazoa; Chordata; Mammalia; Primates; Hominidae. The record is from RNAcentral.
CCCUUAGCCAAGCAUUCAUCAAAAAGAACUGGAUGUUGAAAGAAAAGACUAUAUGCUUUCAAGUUUCCACGUGGAAAGAAAGGUUUCUCUCUCCACACAUGAUGAAGCAACGUUGUAUUUGAACACCUAAACUGCUCAACUUCAGCCACUUCUCCUACAGGAAAAACAAAGGCUCUCCCAGAAAGCUGAGCGCAGAGCAAAAGAACACAGCCUACGCACUCUGCCUCAGCAGUGGCUUCCAGUCACCAAAUAAAACAAAUUACCCAUAAAACAGUCAUUUCUUUCCUUUCAACGUAUACUGAGGAAUCUGGGAACAACUGGACACAGUUCGCCACCUUGUGAGCAGGAGAAGACGUGCAGUUUCCUGAAGGACAGCCAACCCUCAGUGCAGAAGCCACAGAGAGAAGCUUUGUGACUCAGGGCCCCAGGCUCCAGAGCACCACAUACGAUGUCUUUGGAGAUGUGCGGUGCGGGGUUAUUUCUGCACUCUCUCCCAGGGCCAGCCUGAGGCCACAUAAAUAACUGAAAUGGGUCUUUAUUGCACACACUACAGCAUUGCUGCAAAACCCUUAUCAAAGUCAUGAACUUGGAGUCAACGAACCUGUUUCUGCUACUAACUACCAAGUGACCUUGAGCAAGUCGCCUAAUUCCUGUGGGCCACAUUUGCAAAUGAGAAAGAUUGACCAGGUGAUCUACAGGGGCUCAUCCAGCUCUAAAAAUGAAAAUUUGUGAAUUCUAUCCUAGAACUACAUGAAGCAGAAAAAGGCACAAAGUCUAUGAGAACGUGGAAGC